RNAcentral lists this ribosomal RNA (505 nucleotides) under uncultured bacterium. RNAcentral's name for it is "bacterial SSU rRNA". It matches the Rfam family "Bacterial small subunit ribosomal RNA", at positions 28 to 520 of the family's 1533-position model. The record is from RNAcentral.
GAUGAACGCUAGCUACAGGCUUAACACAUGCAAGUCGAGGGGAAACGAUAUUGGAAGCUUGCUUCCGAUAGGCGUCGACCGGCGCACGGGUGAGUAACGCGUAUCCAACCUGCCCAUCACUUGGGGAUAACCUUGCGAAAGUAAGACUAAUACCCAAUGACGUCUCUAGAAGACAUCUGAAGGAGAUUAAAGAUUUAUCGGUGAUGGAUGGGGAUGCGUCUGAUUAGCUUGUUGGCGGGGUAACGGCCCACCAAGGCGACGAUCAGUAGGGGUUCUGAGAGGAAGGUCCCCCACAUUGGAACUGAGACACGGUCCAAACUCCUACGGGAGGCAGCAGUGAGGAAUAUUGGUCAAUGGGCGAGAGCCUGAACCAGCCAAGUAGCGUGCAGGAUGACGGCCCUAUGGGUUGUAAACUGCUUUUAUAAGGGAAUAAAGUGGGAGUCGUGACUCUUUUUGCAUGUACCUUAUGAAUAAGGACCGGCUAAUUCCGUGCCAGCAGCCGCGG